CCUACGGGAGGCAGCAGUGGGGAAUAUUGCACAAUGGGCGAAAGCCUGAUGCAGCAACGCCGCGUGAGGGAUGACGGCCUUCGGGUUGUAAACCUCUUUUAGUAGGGAAGAAGCGAAAAGUGACGGUACCUGCAGAAAAAGCACCGGCUAACUACGUGCCAGCAGCCGCGGUAAUACGUAGGGUGCAAGCGUUGUCCGGAAUUAUUGGGCGUAAAGAGCUCGUAGGCGGUUUGUCGCGUCUGCUGUGAAAUCCCGAGGCUCAACCUCGGGCUUGCAGUGGGUACGGGCAGACUAGAGUGCGGUAGGGGAGAUUGGAAUUCCUGGUGUAGCGGUGGAAUGCGCAGAUAUCAGGAGGAACACCGAUGGCGAAGGCAGAUCUCUGGGCCGUAACUGACGCUGAGGAGCGAAAGCAUGGGGAGCGAACAGGAUUAGAUACCCUGGUAGUCCAUGCCGUAAACGUUGGGCGCUAGAUGUAGGGACCUUUCCACGGUUUCUGUGUCGUAGCUAACGCAUUAAGCGCCCCGCCUGGGGNGGACGGCCGCGAGACGUAAACUAAAGAAGUAGACGCGUGAGACGUGCCGAACGGACGACGACGAGGGAGGUAGG
This 606-nucleotide ribosomal RNA is filed under the name uncultured bacterium. Its description in RNAcentral is "bacterial SSU rRNA". The stretch from base 1 to 526 matches the Rfam family "Bacterial small subunit ribosomal RNA", at positions 338 to 873 of the family's 1533-position model. The record is from RNAcentral.